GGAAAGGCCCUUCGGGGUACUCGAGUGGCGAACGGGUGAGUAACACGUGGGUGAUCUGCCCUGCACUUUGGGAUAAGCCUGGGAAACUGGGUCUAAUACCGAAUAGGACCGCAUGCUUCAUGGUGUGUGGUGGAAAGCUUUUGCGGUGUGGGAUGGGCCCGCGGCCUAUCAGCUUGUUGGUGAGGUAAUGGCUUACCAAGGCGACGACGGGUAGCCGGCCUGAGAGGGUGACCGGCCACACUGGGACUGAGAUACGGCCCAGACUCCUACGGGAGGCAGCAGUGGGGAAUAUUGCACAAUGGGCGCAAGCCUGAUGCAGCGACGCCGCGUGAGGGAUGACGGCCUUCGGGUUGUAAACCUCUUUCGCCAGGGACGAAGCGCAAGUGACGGUACCUGGAGAAGAAGGACCGGCCAACUACGUGCCAGCAGCCGCGGUAAUACGUAGGGUCCGAGCGUUGUCCGGAAUUACUGGGCGUAAAGAGCUCGUAGGUGGUUUGUCGCGUUGUUCGUGAAAACUCACAGCUUAACUGUGGGCGUGCGGGCGAUACGGGCAGACUUGAGUACUGCAGGGGAGACUGGAAUUCCUGGUGUAGCGGUGGAAUGCGCAGAUAUCAGGAGGAACACCGGUGGCGAAGGCGGGUCUCUGGGCAGUAACUGACGCUGAGGAGCGAAAGCGUGGGGAGCGAACAGGAUUAGAUACCCUGGUAGUCCACGCCGUAAACGGUGGGUACUAGGUGUGGGUUUCCUUCCUUGGGAUCCGUGCCGUAGCUAACGCAUUAAGUACCCCGCCUGGGGAGUACGGCCGCAAGGCUAAAACUCAAAGAAAUUGACGGGGGCCCGCACAAGCGGCGGAGCAUGUGGAUUAAUUCGAUGCAACGCGAAGAACCUUACCUGGGUUUGACAUGCACAGGACGCCGGCAGAGAUGUCGGUUCCCUUGUGGCCUGUGUGCAGGUGGUGCAUGGCUGUCGUCAGCUCGUGUCGUGAGAUGUUGGGUUAAGUCCCGCAACGAGCGCAACCCUUGUCUCAUGUUGCCAGCACGUUAUGGUGGGGACUCGUGAGAGACUGCCGGGGUCAACUCGGAGGAAGGUGGGGAUGACGUCAAGUCAUCAUGCCCCUUAUGUCCAGGGCUUCACACAUGCUACAAUGGCCGGUACAAAGGGCUGCGAUGCCGUGAGGUGGAGCGAAUCCUUUCAAAGCCGGUCUCAGUUCGGAUCGGGGUCUGCAACUCGACCCCGUGAAGUCGGAGUCGCUAGUAAUCGCAGAUCAGCAACGCUGCGGUGAAUACGUUCCCGGGCCUUGUACACACCGCCCGUCACGUCAUGAAAGUCGGUAACACCCGAAGCCGGUG
This 1349-nucleotide ribosomal RNA is filed under the name Mycolicibacterium gilvum. RNAcentral describes it as "bacterial SSU rRNA". It matches the Rfam family "Bacterial small subunit ribosomal RNA", at positions 68 to 1432 of the family's 1533-position model. The record is from RNAcentral. Lineage: Bacteria; Bacillati; Actinomycetota; Actinomycetes; Mycobacteriales; Mycobacteriaceae.